This 471-nucleotide ribosomal RNA is filed under the name uncultured archaeon. Its description in RNAcentral is "bacterial SSU rRNA". It matches the Rfam family "Archaeal small subunit ribosomal RNA", at positions 1 to 471 of the family's 1478-position model. The record is from RNAcentral.
UUCCGGUUGAUCCUGCCGGAGGCCAUUGCUAUCGGAAUCCGAUUUAGCCAUGCUAGUCGCACGGGUCAGACCCGUGGCGAACAGCUCAGUAACACGUGGCCAAACUACCCUGUGGACGAGGAUAAUCUCGGGAAACUGAGGUCAAUCCUUGAUAGGGCUUCCAUCCUGGAGUGGAGGAAGUCCAAAAGUUGCUCUGCAGCACCACAGGAUGUGGCUGCGGCCGAUUAGGUAGACGGUGGGGUAACGGCCCACCGUGCCAGUAAUCGGUACGGGUGAUGAGAGUCAGAGCCCGGAGACGGUAUCUGAGACAAGAUACCGGGCCCUACGGGGCGCAGCAGGCGCGAAACCUUUACACUGCACGACAGUGCGAUAGGGGGAUUCCGAGUGCGAGGGCAUACAGUCCUCGCUUUUCUGGACCGUAAGGAGGUCCAAGAAUAAGGGCUGGGCAAGACCGGUGCCAGCCGCCGCGGU